Molecule: long non-coding RNA, 434 nt
Filed under: Marmota monax (woodchuck)
Lineage: Eukaryota; Metazoa; Chordata; Mammalia; Rodentia; Sciuridae
Source: RNAcentral
AGUGGCUCUUGCACUUGGGUGGAGCCCGCAGGGAAGGGCGUUCCCACCCCGGCCCCUGCUGGUCACCAGCACCGUGGCUGCUGUGGGAGAAAGGGGGCUCCUGUCCCAGCUGCACUGAAGACCUGGAAUGGGAUAAAAAUGAGACGAGCCGCCCUCCCUGCCCACCGCAGGCCCAGCCCCGUCCUGGCCAUAUCAUUUGACCUUCUUGGCAGUCCUGAGAUGGUCCAGAUAUUCUCAUGCCCAUUUUACAGCUGAGGAAACCAAGGCUCAGAGUUUCGGGCAGUUACCUCCGACACACAGAGAGGAAGGCCGGACCCUGAUUCCGUCCAGACCCUCUGGACGGACAAAAGGCCUGUGCUGAGCUGAGCUGUUUCCUUUCACCCUUGGGGGUCCCCAGGGAUGAGUGAGGAGGGCCUGCUGGCCAGGGCAGGGUG